ACAGUUCUGGAAGGCACUGUGCAGGCUUCUGGGAGAGGUUUACCCAGCACAGGACCAGGCAAACAUGUGCUCACUGGAGAAGUGUUGCUCUGACAGUUAUUGCAAUAACCAACCAUUUUCUGAUUGGAUUUGAGGCCUGCUCCACAGGAAGGACUUCAUGCCUGGGGCUGUGAAUCUGAUCCUCCUGGAAGGAAAAAGAGACUUGUCGACAUUCCUUCUCCUUGCUGCGAUUAACAUCAGAUGUCUGACCACAAGGAAGCUGAACGAACUCAGGAGCUGCUUCAGGACCUGUGAGAUGGCUUGGCAGGUAUAAACUGCUUCCUUGUGCAUCUACCUGAUUAUUGGUCAAGGCACAUACAAAGGCAUGAGAGAAGGUUACUAUUGUAAAAGUGGCUUACAAGCUGUGGUCCAGCUAGUUCAACAAUGGCCAUCUACCAAUGGAAAGUCCAAGAAUCUACUAGUUGUUCAGCCAUCAAGACUGGAUGUCUCACCUGGUCUUCACUAUAUGCCAGAAUCCUGAAGAAGCCGUCUCUAAUGCCAAUGAAGGAAUGAACUUGCUAGCAAGAGCAAAGGCAAGCAGGCAUUGGUCUUCAGCCACUGCUGAGAAAUGGCAGAACUGGCAAGAUUGUCCAACUGUGACCUGCCCUCUUGACUUCAAACUGCCUUCCCCGGCUGGUCUUAGUGUUUAUUCUCCCUCACAGAGCUGACUUCUGGCAGACUUUUCUUUUUGAGUUGCUGGUGUUUUGUGGUCAGUAAAUCAGCAUAAUUUUAGCGACAGCAGAAAGGGAGGCAAAGUUGUGCAAUUCUUUUAUUAUUCUUAAUCUCUCCCCCAAGAGAAAUAAAUCUGGAAAAGGAAUAGGGAGGCUCAAUGGGAAGGGCUGGAGAGAAUGGUGUUUCUGAGAAGACAGAAUUAUAGCAACAGCUGUGCUGGGCGAGAGGAGCUCACUGGAGCCCGCCAUGAACUGCUCACCGCUCCUUACUUACAUCUCCCCUCCUUCCCUGCUCUUCUGCACCCACACCCACACUACUUCAGGUGGCUUAUAAAGUUGAAGCAAUCCAUUUGGAGGUCUGGGGCCAUGUUUGAUCAUAUUGCCUCAGAGGAGAGCCCAUUGACAUAGAGCCAGACUACCUGGGCAGACUGAGAGCUUCCUGGCAUGUGUUUGGGUGAAGAAUUAGUGAUGUGUAGCUCUUCAAAAUUGAUUCACUAAUUCAAAUGUCAAAUAAGCCAGGGUACACACCCUGGCUCAGAUACAAACUUGCCAAGGUUUCCUUUGGACCUAUGGCUCCUUCAGAACGGCAUCAUCUUGUGGUAAGCAUUCCUUCCUUGUAAGCAGGCAUCUGGUACAAUAACACCAACUGUAAAGUCGACCCCACAUACUACAGUUCCAGAGCUGCCUCAAGUGCUUUACAAAGAGCAAUGUGCUAAACACUCCCAAUAAGCCCAAGAAAUGUGCUCAUCACAGGAAGGUGAGAACAAGCUGAGGAAGGGUUGGUGUCCCAUUCUCAACACUAAAUAUUUGGAGAGCUGGGAUUCCUACUGGCAUUGCAUUGCUGGACUCUACAGUCUAGGCCUUUGUCUUCCCCAACUCAUCAGUGUGUAGCAGAAAGUAAUAAGCAAGCUAACACACACAAGGAAAGCCUGAGUCGGUUAAUGUAGUGGAUAUCUUAAAAGUAGAAUCAGAAAAAUGUUUUACUAUAAUCAGGCAUUGUGUUUUGUACCUUUCCCACCUGAAUCAGAAAUGCACACAUAAUGUUGGGGUGCUAAGAGGCCUUAAGCAGGGAAUUCAAACCAUGAUUUCACUCUGUGUCCAGGACUCUGUCUACUCUGCUGGCUGUCUUUUCCACAGUCCUUUUUGAAGAGGAUGACCUGGAAGCUCUACACCCUUUGGUCUUCCCAUGGUGGACCAGAAACUAUUUGGGGUUCUCAGAGUUCACUGACCAAACCCUCAUUGUAAUGUGCCUUGGCUAACAAAGGAUUAAGACAGACAGAGGCCCUGGGUUCCCAUGGGGCCCACAGUGGUAUCCAUUAGCCCUCAUGUGGUCUUGUCUAAGCCCCUCCCAAAAGCUUGUCUCAAAUAAAAAGUAGAAAAUGUU
RNAcentral lists this long non-coding RNA (2094 nucleotides) under Mus musculus (house mouse). Its description in RNAcentral is "RIKEN cDNA 9330199G10 gene (9330199G10Rik)". The record is from RNAcentral. Lineage: Eukaryota; Metazoa; Chordata; Mammalia; Rodentia; Muridae.